This 429-nucleotide ribosomal RNA is filed under the name Chloroflexota bacterium. RNAcentral describes it as "Chloroflexi bacterium partial 16S ribosomal RNA". It matches the Rfam family "Bacterial small subunit ribosomal RNA", at positions 355 to 776 of the family's 1533-position model. Lineage: Bacteria; Bacillati; Chloroflexota. The record is from RNAcentral.
UGGGGAAUAUUGCACAAUGGGCGCAAGCCUGAUGCAGCCAUGCCGCGUGUGUGAAGAAGGCCUUCGGGUUGUAAAGCACUUUCAGCGGGGAGGAAGGCGAUAAGGUUAAUAACCUUGUCGAUUGACGUGACCCGCAGAAGAAGCACCGGCUAACUCCGUGCCAGCAGCCGCGGUAAUACGGAGGGUGCAAGCGUUAAUCGGAAUUACUGGGCGUAAAGCGCACGCAGGCGGUCUGUCAAGUCGGAUGUGAAAUCCCCGGGCUCAACCUGGGAACUGCCUUCGAAACUGGCAGGCUAGAGUCUUGUAGAGGGGGGUAGAAUUCCAGGUGUAGCGAUGAAAUGCGUAGAGAUCUGGAGGAAUACCGGUGGCGAAGGCGGCCCCCUGGACAAAGACUGACGCUCAGGUGCGAAAGCGUGGGGAGCAAACAGG